GAUGAAGAACGUAGCGAAAUGCGAUAAGUAAUGUGAAUUGCAGAAUUCAGUGAAUCAUCGAAUCUUUGAACGCACAUUGCGCCCGGUAGUAUUCUGCCGGGCAUGCCUGUUCGAGCGUCAUUUCAACCAUCAAGCCCCCCCGGGGGCCUCGGUGUUGGGGGACGGCACACCAGCCGCCCCCGAAAUGCAGUGGCGACCCCGCCGCAGCCUCCCCUGCGUAGUAGCACACACCUCGCACCGGAGCGCGGAGGCGGUCACGCCGUAAAACGCCCAACUUUCUUAGAGUUGACCUCGGAUCAGGUAGGAAUACCCGCUGAACUUAAGCAUAUCAAUAAGCGGAGGA
This 343-nucleotide unclassified non-coding RNA is filed under the name soil metagenome. Its description in RNAcentral is "partial contains 5.8S ribosomal RNA, internal transcribed spacer 2, and large subunit ribosomal RNA". The stretch from base 1 to 120 matches the Rfam family "5.8S ribosomal RNA", at positions 35 to 154 of the family's 154-position model. The record is from RNAcentral.